UGUUGGUCAGGCUGGUCUUGAACUCCCAACCUCAGGUGAUCCACCCGCCUUGGCCUCCAAAGUGCUUGGAUUACAGGCGUGAGCCACCACGCCCGACCUAACACUAAGCUUCUGUAGGAAGUCAUGACACAUAACUCAUGGUUUCCACAAACAGGCACCUCGAUGUGGAAAACUGGGACCAGGUAGGAAAGGUUUGAAAUGGGCUCAUCAAAAGGUCUUAAAGUAGAUCCCUCUGUUUUCUUUUCCUUAGAAUUUGGUGCAUACUGUCAUCCUGCCGUUAUCCCUUUCUUAUUCAAGUGAACAGCAGGAGCCAUGCUCUGACUCCCCAAAAUUGAAAGAGCCUUCUGGUUCACCAACAGCGCCCACUGAAGCCCAAGGCACCACUUCUACCGGCCCGACAGGUACCGUAAGCCAGCUUUCCACACGGUGCACGCCAAGAAUCACGGCAGACAGAAAAGCCUGAACCUCCAACCGGCAGCCCCUUCACCAAGACAAAAGGUGAGGAAUCGCUUGCACACCCACUGUUGGAAGAUCGCCGGCCCGGGACCUCUGGCCCCACCCACCAUCACCGUAUUGGAGCCCAGACUAACUGUCAGGAGCAGGCAGGAACCCCAUCGCUAAUUACUUACCAACUCCUCCAAGCUGCACACCUCCCAGCAGGAGUUACACACUGCCGAGGACACCAAACAGGACCAGAAAGGCCGACAAGGCAAGAAGUCUGUUUCCUCUGCCCCUGUCCCUCUCCCCCUCAUCACCCCCACAAUUCAAACCCAGUAUUCUGCCACCAGAAAACCUUCACUGUUAAAACAAGGAGCCUCCUUCCAAGGGAACUGGAAAUUCUAACAUCUCUUAUCAAUGCACACCCCUGUACCUUUCUCCUUCACCCUUCUAGCCCCACCCCACACCUGUUUACACAGUAAAAAAACCCAACUGUCUUGUCUGCUGUCACUUCCUCUCAAGGAGCCCUCCACUCUCCUCCUCUCCCUACACAUCAGCUAAGAAGUCUCUCUCCUCAUAACAUAUCAAAUAUUCAAAGUCCUCUCCUCUCCCCCGAGCACGCACGCGCGCACACACACGUCUCAAGGAAAGUGUAUGCAUUCCUGUUUUUCCUGCUCCUCUGCUGCCCACGCAGCUGUGGCAGUUUCUCAGCCCUAGGACCAUCUUCCUGUUCCUUUUCACACACCAUCCAGAGCAGCCCUGCCUUUGUACUGCUGCCCACGCAGCUGUGGCAGUUUCUCAGCCCUAGGACCAUCUUCCUGUUCCUUUUCACACACCAUCCAGAGCGGCCCUGCCUUUGUACACAGAACCUUCACCCUCUUCUUGGUAACUUCUCUUCACAUAUACUGCUAAUUACAACCACGCAAAACUCCGAAAGUUCCAUAACUUUACACCCAAAACUUGGCCAAGACCCCAUAUAUGCUGCCUCCUCCAACACACACACACACACACGCACGCACCAUCCCUCCCUCCGUCUGUGGUGCUGCUCAAACAUCUCCCACCCCUCACUCUCCCCUAAGCUAACGGCCCUUUUCCGCAGCCCCUCCACAUUACCUCCUCUCCUGCCUCUCAAACAUGGAAACCCCUUCGUGAGACAGUUCUCAAGGGGGUCUCUCUCUCUCCUUCUCGCACUGGGUUGCUAAAGCUGGACCAAUUCCCUCCAAAUAAGGAAUCUACACACACCAACACCUAUUCUCAAUCACUUGUCCGUUUACAUUAACACCACAGGCGUCUCCUUCCUCUGAGAUCCAUAACCCAUUUCUGUCUCCCUACCAACUAGACAGGUGCUUGCACCCUAAUCUACCUCCCACAUUCACCUUGUCCUCCAAACCGGAAAACUCCCUGUCCUACUAUACUACAUGCCCCCCCUCGCCCCCCAAAAAUAUAUAGUUCAGCCCCUUAAAGUCACCACUAAUGUCAGUUUAGAAGCACGAAGUCUCAAAACCUUGUUACCAUAUUUCUAGUUGCUUUCCCAAAAUUUCCAGUCAGUAAAAACAAACCAUAGCAAAGUCUAUCACUAACCUUCAAAACCAACUAGACUCUUUACAAAAACCUCAGAGGCCUAGACCAGCUCACUGCUGGGGGAAAAAAAAAGUCUGUGCCUCUUUUUAAAUAAAUAAUGCUGUUUUUAACCUCAGUAAUCUAGAUUAGUAUAAAAUACUAUCAAAAGGCUCAAAGACCAAACCCAAAAAAUUUAAAAAACAUUCUACUGUGUGGCCCGGCUGGCCCAGUUGGUCUCUCAGCUCCUGGGCCCCCUGGCUGCCUCCCCUCCUCAGCCCUGCUAUAACUCUCCUCCUCCUCUUCAUCUUUGGCCCUUGCCUCUUACGCCUUUUCAACCAGUUUUUUGCAGAAUCCACAUUACAGGACAUGAUGGUGUUCCAGGACUACCAACUUGCAAGCCAGUCUCACCCCAACCAGCGUCCCUACUCAGCAUGAAGCAGCUAAAAUGGUGCCCCAUAUAGAUAUAUAUAUAUAUCUAUCUCAAGAGGCUGGAAUGCUAGGGUGACAGCAAAGCAAGCCCAUAGACCCCCCCUUGCCAUUCUCCUAAGCUGAGCUCACGCCCUGUAAACAGGGCACCUAGGUUCCAGGAUGUGGUCGUACCCGGCUCUCAAACCCAGGACGUUGACCCAAUUAAGCAGAAUGUUAGCCCCUAAGAACCAAGAUACGGUUUUUCUUAGAACAGCACCUGGCUACCUGCAAAGCCCCUAUAUAACCCCUACAGUCUGUAAGCCAGGCUGCUGCCUUCACUGCCUGUGAUGAGGCAGCCAGCCUGGCAGGUUGAAAUAAACUUGCUAAACCUGACCCCGGGUCGGCCUCCCCACCCUUUUAGUCAACCUCACAACAGCUUACAGCUAUUAACAGUACUGUCCAUGAAAAGUGCUUAACUGUGCACAAGACAACCCUAGAUAAGGACCAGUCCGGCCCCCAGGAAUUCACCCCCCGUGAGAACCUGAUGGUCGAUUUUACUGAGUUACCUGUGUAAGAGGUCUUAAAUAUUUAUUGGUCUUUGUCUGCACCUAUUCCGACUGGGUGACGGUUGUCCUCAACUGAAAAGGCCUGAGGAGUAACUGGGUGUUACUAGCACACAUUAUUCACAAGUUUGAGGUGCCUUUGACUAUCGGGUCAGAUAAUGGCCCGGUAUGUGUAGCUGAAGUUGUCGACACCUAUCCCAGUUAUUAAAAACAAGAUGGAAGCUGCAUACUGUCCCAAGAGUUCAGGAAAAGCUGAAAGGAUGAACCAAGCAAUAAAGCAAUUAUUAAAAAAACUUCUGUCAAGUAACCCACCUAAAGUGAGAUCAGGAUCUACCCAUGGUUCUCCUUCAAAUCAGAUGCACCCAGAAAAAAAACAGGACACUCACCCUACAAAGUUCUGUUUGGAAGGCCUCCCCGCUCAUUACCACAAUUAAAGGAGAACUAGGAAACAGGAGCACUAACAUGGAGAAGACAAAUGCAGGCCUUAAGCAGCAGAGUUGCAUCCAAGAAAGCUUGCCAGUACAUCCAGCCCAGUCCACCCACCCCAACCACAUUAGGACCCAUAUGAGACGGGCCCUCUGUUGCCAUCUCAUCUACCCCCACUGCAGUUAAGGUUGCUGAAGUUCCCUGGAUCCAUCACAGCUGGUUCAAGAGAGCUGCUGCCCAGGACACGUGGACCAGCCAGCCAGACCCGGGUCAACCCGCCAGACGAAGCUUAAGACGAGAGGCAAACAGAGACCAAACCCACACCAGCCUGACCUCAGACACAACUGAUAAUGAAGAAUCAUCAAGCCCUGCUCUAGUCACACAACCGGAAGCUGACUAGUCAACGCACUAGCUGAAGCUUGAGGAAUCUCCGCCAGAUAAAUAAAUGUACUGUUACUGUAGCAGUAUUAACCAUCUUGUGACUAUGUUGUGACUGCUGCAAAGCUUGCUUCCAGGAGAAAGCACUCCUGCCCAGGUCUUGGUGUAAGACGUCGCCUUUCAUUUUCAUCGUGUUAGCUUGCGGCAAUCUUAGAAAGGGAGGAAGCUUAGGACGGAUGUCCUAUAUGCACCCGUACUACACGGGUAGGAGACACACAAGUUACCACCUUUUUAUAUAACCCCCCUAGGAACCUGUAUAUGUAACCAAACUACUCAAUCUGUGAUCUUGGUGAUGAUCAGCCCUACAUUUGCUGUGACCCCAAACUUCUACCUGGGACUUGGUUCAAGCUCCGUGAUAGGUCUGGAAAAGGAUCUCUUUACAAUUCAACCAGAGUACCUUCCUCUGACAAAGGCCGCCUGUAUCUGUAAUAUCUGUAUUCAGAUGCCUGCCAGCUAACAAGAACACUCUGUAAAAAUAAUAACACAACCCUUGGCAUGCAGUCACGUCAGCAUGUGCCUCUUGCGGUUGUUACAUUCCUGAUCCCAGAAGAAAGCUGACUGUAUCCAGUCACAGCCCUUACUGGAUGAGUGAUACUCCACAUCCUCAGGACAGAAACUUCUCCAGAAGCCUCAACAGAUGGUACCAGGAAGUUCCUGUCGCCUCACUGAAUCUGUUAUUUCAAAUCAGAGUUCACCUGAUUAUCCAGUUAGGACCUCAGUGCCUCUUGCUCAAUCAGGUGAACUCUGAUUUGAAAUAACAAAUUUGAGGUCCUAACUGGAUACAGCGAUACAGCCACAGAAAUUAGGCAUUAAAUAUUCCAGGGUGCAAGCUACUGAUAGAAUCGUAUUUUUAGUAUUAUCAAAAGGACUUGAGCUCACAAACUUCAGCAACGAUUUAGGAUUUUCAAAUCUUUGAGUGAAGAUAUUAACCAGGUAAUCCCUGCCACUAAAAUCUGUUUGAACAGUUAGCUGAGAAUGCAGCAGGAAAUAGAGGAGUUUCCUCAUGUUAUAUAUGCAGAGGAACUGACAUGGAGAAUCGGUGGCCAUGCGAGGUAAAAUAAUUGCUUCCCCAUGACAACUACACAUUAAUUCUCUCCACCACAGAUGCUCCAUAAUUAAUGCCUACUGGCUCCGAUACUUGGCUCUUAACAACCCCGAUCAAAGGAAGAUACUGCGUAGCUGGCCAGGGUACCCCCUAUACACACCCUGUAGGUAAAUUAGCCUGUUAAGUAAGGGCAACAGUACUAUCAUGAAGCUAUAGGAAAAACUUUAUGGCGGAGAGAAAACAGAAAAGGUAAAAAUAGCUCAAGGCCGUCUCUUUUUUUUUUUUUUUUGAGACGGAGUUUCGCUCGUUACCCAGGCUGGAGUGCAAUGGCACAAUCUCGGCUCACCGCAACCUCCGCCUCCUGGGUUCAGGCAAUUCUCCUGUCUCAGCCUCCUGAGUAGCUGGGAUUACAGGCACUCGCCACCGUGCCCAGCUAAUUGUUGUAUUUUUAGUAGAGACGGGGUUUCACCAUGUUGACCAGGAUGGUCUUGAUCUCUUGAUCUCGUGAUCCACCGCGGCCGGCCAUCUCGUUUUUAACCCAUUUUCUAGGUUCCCUUCUUUAAACCACUCUUAGCAUCAAUAGAUGCACCAGACACACGGCAAGCGCCUGCAGGACUCUACCGGAUCUGUGGUCAGCCAGCCUACAGGCAGUUGCCAGAAAAAUGGAUAAGAGCGUGUGUAUUAGGUAUCAUUAAACCCUCAUUCUUCCUGUUACCCUUAAAACAGGGAGAAACAUUAGGAUAUCCAUCCUAUUUACGAUAAGUCUAAAGAUAGGAACAAAUGGCCGGGCGCGGUGCCUCACACCUGUAAUCCCAGCACUUCGGGAGGCCAAGGCGGGUGGAUUGCUUGAGGUCAGGAGUUCGAGACCAGCCUGGCCAACAUGGUGAAACCCUGUCUCUAAAAAAAAACACAAAAGAUAGGAACAAAUGAGCAAACUUCAAAAAAAAAGAAAGAUACACGGCAGAUUGGAAAGAUACAGAUUGGUCUCCAGAGAGAAUAAUUAUUAUGGCAGCCACCUGGGCACAAGAUGAAUCAUGGUUAUAUCGUAUUCCCAUCUACAUGAUUAAUCAUUUCAUUGGAGUACAAGCAGUAUUAGAAAUUAUAACUAAUGAAACGUUUAAAGCUUUAGAUUUGUUAGCUGUACAAUCUACACAGAUGAGAAAUGAAACUUAUCAAAACAGACUGGCAUUAGAUUAUCUGCGGGAUUCAGAGGGAAGAGUGUGGAAAAUUUAACUGACUGUUGUUUAGCAAUUGAUGACAACAGACAGGCAGUUAUGGAAAUCACUGCCAACAUGAGAAUGUUAGCCCCUGUUCUAGUCCAAACCUGGAAAGGCUGGACCCCAGGCUCUCUUUUUAGUGGAUGGCUUUCGUCUUUUGGCAGAUUCACGACUCUCAUGCGGAGUGUAGUCCUUGUAUUAGGCGUCUGUCUAUUACCGCCUUGCUUAUUGCCGCUCCUGUAUAGCAGCAUACAGUCCACUGUAGAGGCGGUGUUGCCAAGACACACCCUCCCAAGUAAUGGCACUAAGUAUCAGCCAUUACCCACACAAGAAAGCUCAUCUCAUGAAAAGGUAGAAAAUUAUGAAACUAACAUAGGUCUUCUAUAAGGUAUUUUUCUUUCCCAGGCCUCCCCUCUUUACCCUCUACGUGGCUUGUAAAAUGCAGAUGUAUGAGUGUAGAGAAGAGAGGCCCAGGCCUUAAACAUCACUUGUGAACAUGAGAGAUUCUAAGUCUGACUUCUGACUCGUGCUUCUCUAAAGGCCAAAGAUUGUGCCCCCCAGGUGGAUGGCUGGUUAGUCAAUGAUGGGGAAGAGUCCCUGAAAGAUGGGAAUGGGAGGCCAACAAAGGCUGAGAAACGUGAAGUCAAAGAGCCGGUCUGCUGCCACAAAGACAAGUGACGCUGAGAGCAGAUGCGCUGGCAAAGCGACUCCGAGGCAAACAACUGGACUGCCUUGUGACAGGCCUCAGGCUCGAUCCUGCUAUCCUAGCAGCAUGUCUACCGUAAACAAGGUGAAAGCCUUCUAAUAAUAGUUAUUUUUAAAAGAAAGCUUUUAAAGGGGGGAAUGUGGAAGCUCAACUGUCUCCAGGCUCCUGCUUACCUCUGUAAUUCCUGUCUAGCAGAAAGGUUGUCAGUCAAGUAACAAAAUUGUAAGUUCUCUCUGAAUUGUCACGAAUUAAGUAAUUCAUGGUCUUUGAAACUGUGGAAAAAUCGGGCAUUUUAAGAAGGAGUGUCCUCAGACUAAUGGCAAAAGGGAUCUUAUAACGCGGUGUCCCUGCCAACAGAAAAAAUGCCAAGAAUUUGCGCUCGGUGUAGGGAAGGAAACCAGUGGGCUAAUCAGAACGGCACUCCCACGUCAGGAAACACGAGUGGGCGGUAGGGGGUGGACCCAGCUCCCUCAAACACUGAGGGCACUUCCCGUCCAGACCACAACCCCACUGCAGGGGUGGGUCCUCAGAGGAACAUAUUCCCUCUCCCCAGGAACAUCCGGAAGUGCAGGAUUACAUCUCCCAGUUAGCUGGUGUAGACAGACCCACCAGAAUUCCCACCCGCUUUUGGGGACCUUUGCCAAGAGGACAUAUGGGACUGAUCCUGGGUAAAAGCCGUCCUAACUUACAAGGCGUCACCACUGUCCCUGGAGUUGCUGGCUGGCUGCCAAGGAGAAAUGCAAGUAAUUGUCACAGGGUCACUGGGUUUUUGAACCAGAAGAAUACAUUGCUCAGCUAUUGCUUAUUCUCCAAAAAAGGGGAGACGGGAGGAAAUCAAGGAUUUGGGAAAUUUACCUCUUCCCAAUCCACAGAUUCUAAUCGGCCUGUAUAAAUCAAAGGAAAGAAGUUUUGUGGGAUUAUGGACAUGGGAGCGGAUGUUAUCAGUGAUAUCUAAAAACAACUGGCCUUAGUGGGAAUAGGAACAGCUCAGCGUGUUCAGUGGAAUACUGAGAUUUUACCUGCCUCAGUCCAGAUGGGCAAUCGUGUACUUUUCAAACAUAGGCUGGAAAUAUAGCUGUGAAUCUAUGAGGCCAAGACAUACUUACACCAUGGGAUAUGAGACUUAGGAAUGAGAGAAUUGAUAGUCUAGGAUUUAAAAUGUGGAAAAAGAUGGGUUAUCAGAGCGGAAAAGGCUUAGGAAGUCCCUGCAGGGAAGCCCUGAUCGAUUAUCGAUAACUGGGCUAACAAAUAGAAAACAGCUAGGCUUUCAGAAUUUCUAAUAGGGGUCAUUGAUACUUAUCCAUCCACUGCUUUGCCAUUAAGAGGGCCUGACUGAUAAACCUGUAUGGGUGGUGGAUCAGAUCAAUGGCCCGUAUCACAGGAGAAACUGACUCUGCUUCAUCAGUUAAUAAGAGAACAAUUUUUUUGUUCUUUGAGACGGAGUUUCACUCUUGUUACCCAGGCUGGAGUACAAUGGCGCGAUCUCGGCUCAUGGCAACCUCCGUCUCCUGGGUUCAGGCAAUUCUCCUGCCUCAGCCUCCAGAGUAGCUGGGACUACAGGCACACGCCACCGUGCCCAGCUAAUUUUUUGUAUUUUUAGUAGAGACGGGGUUUCACCAUGUUGACCAGGAUGGUCUCGAUCUCUUGACCUCGUGAUCCACCCGACUCGGCCUCCCAAAGUGCUGGGAUUACAGGCCUGAGCCACCGCGUCUGGCCUAAUAAAAGAACAAUUUAAUGAAGGGCAUAUAGAAGAGUCAGCCCUUGGAAUUCAGUAUUUGUGAUUUAAAAAAAAAAAAUCAGGAAAAUGGCAACUGCUACAUGACUUGAGAGCUAUGAAUUCACAGAUUAAACCAAUGGGUGCAUUGCAACAAGGUUUACUGUCCUCAACAGCCAUUCCAAGAGAUUGGCCUCUCAUAGAUAUAGAUCUCAGAUUUUUUUAUACUAUACUAUUGCAUGCGAAGGGCAAGCCUCAAUUUGCAUUCUCUGUGCCUUCUAUUAGUCAAAGAGAGCCUGUCUCUCAGUAUCGGUGGAAAGUUUUACCCCAAAGCAUACUCAAUAGUCCUACAUUUUGCCAGCAUUUUGUAGGAAAAGCAUUAAAGGAUCCGGGAAGCAUGUUUCCCACCCCUUACAUCAUUCGUCAGAUUGAUGAUAUUCUUUUGGCCAUUCCCACAAAUCAAAUAUUACACCAGCUAUGCAGAGAAAUAAAACGAGCCCUGACUAAAUGGAAUCUCAAAAUAGCUCCGGAAAAGGUGCAAACAACCUUCCCAUAUGAGUACAUAGGAACUCAAAAAGCAGCUCCUCGUAGAGACAGAUGACCAACUUCAAUGGUUUUCAGCAAUUACUGGGGGAUGUUAACUGGCUGAGCCCAGUGCUAGGUAUUGUUUAACAACUCAAACACCUCUAUCAAACACUCCAAGGAGAUUCUUCAUUAGAUUCUCCCUGGAAACUUACUAAGGAGGCAGAAGCUGAGUUGCAGCUUGGAGAUAGAACAAAUGCUUCCGGAAUGACAUGCGUACCAACUCCACCCACAGAAGCCUCUGCCUGUGUUUAUGCUUCCCACUCUCCAUUCUCCAAGAGGACUUUUUUUUUUUUCUUGGCAGAGUUUCGCUCUUUUGCCCAGGCUGGAAUGCAAUAGCUCAAUCUUAGCCCCACUGCGAUCUCCACCUUCUGGUUUCAAGCCAUUCUCCUGCCUCAGCCUCCCAAGUAGCUGGGAUAACAGGUGCCCACCAUCACACCUGGCUAAUUUCUGUAUAUUUAGUAGAGAUGGGGUUUCACCGUGUUGGCGAGGCUGGUCUCGAACUCCUGACCUCGUGAUCUGCCCGCCUCAGCCUCCCAAAGUGCUGGGAUUACAGGCGUGAGCCACCACGCCUGGCCUCCAACAGCACUUUCAGGACAGUUCACACACAAAAUUAUAAUGGUGAUGGAGUCACUUUUUCUAUCCGAUCAGACAGUAAAAUCCUUGCAAGUUUACCUUUCUUUAAUCACACAACUUACAACAACAGCCAAACGUAGAUCAAAAAUGCUUACAGGAUAUGACCCUGAUGAAGGUGUUCUCUGGGAUCCCCAACAGCAGGCUGUGGUCUGGGAAAUGUGGACUGCAUGGCAAAUGGCCCUCACAGAUUUUGUAGGAGUUACAGAUAACCAUUACCUUUCAGGUAAGAUUUUGCCAUUUUACAAGGUUCACCCUUCAAUCCUCCCUGUGAUUACUCAUCACAAGCGUGUUCCAGAUGGACAGACUUAUUUUACUGAUGGCUCUUCUAAAGGCCGUGCAGCUAUUUAUGGAACUAAACAUGCUCAAUCAAUCAAGAGCCCUGGAGUUUCAGCUCUACGUUCAGAAUUCUGCAGCUCACAGCUUUCUCCCCUGUUAACAUUGUCUCUGAUUCGGCCUAUGUUGUAAAUGGAGCCAGUCGCAUGGAGGCUGCCACUCUGAAAAGCGCCGUAGAACCAGAGCUGCUUAACUUACUUCUCAAGACAUCGGCAAGUUACUCAUUCUCAUGCUACUCCUUUUCCUAUUCCUCAUAUCCUGGGCCAUUACCUCUAGGCAAUGAGGAAGCAGAUAAGCUAACUGGUUCUUUAUUUCAACGGUCCAAGGUUCCCAUGCAUUAUUACAUGAAAACACCUCUGCCCUCACUGCAUGUUUUAUCUAUCUCACAACCAGGCCCAAGCCACUGUGCACGCCUUCCCCACCUGCCAACAUAUCCCUGGUGUUCCACCUGUGGAAGGAUGUAACCCGCGAGGCUUAGCUCCAAGUGCAAUUUCACAGAUGGAUGCCACACAUAUAGCACGCUUCUUCGGCAAGCUCAGCGAUGGUCACCUAACUGUAGAUAUCGGUCUCAUGUUACAUGCUGUAUGUCCAACAGGAGAAACAGCUGGUCACGUCUGAUGACACUGUCAUCGAUUGCCCAUAUGGGGGUCCCUAAACAAUUCAAAACUGACACUGGACCCGCUUAUGUCAGGUCAUGCUUUUCAAAACUUUUUACAGUUGUGGGCAAUCAAACACUAAACAGGAAUUCGAUACAAUCCUGAAGACAAGGAUUACUGAGCAGGCACAUCGAACACUAAGAUGAAUACUCAGACAACAAAAAGGGGGAACAGGAGACCAACUACCACCUCAAACAAAACUACAUUUAGCCUUGUUUACUUCACAGGUGGUAAGACUCCAGGAGAAAGACACUGGCAAGUGUUGGAGGAAAAGAGGCAAGUUUAUCCAAAAACGUUACAGAAAUCCCCGAAAAAGGACAAUGCAAAGGCCCAGCGGAUUUGCUGACAUGGGGAAGGGGCUAUGCUCGCAGUUUUUGGAGGUGGACAAACCGUGUGGGUGCCCUCCCAGUAUGUAUGACCAUGGAACAGGACACUGGAGGAUCCAUGGUGGCCAACUGUGGGCCCAGUCCCUCCAGUAUGAGCCAUGAGCCAACUGGAUCUGAAGGCGAAGAUGGAACAAGGGCCAACCAGAGUCACAAUCACAAUCAAACCCAUAACACGGGGACAGAUCAAGAAAAUAACAUAGGAGGCUAAGAAACUGCUGGAGUGCCAGGGUCAGGCAAAAACCCUGACUCCACGUUCGCCGUGGUAUCCUAUGCCGUAUGUUUCCCCUAUGUAGAGGCAAAAACAUACUGGACAUAUGUUCUGUUCCCAACCAUCCAGCAGUGCAGCUGGUACUCUGGACUGACACUCCUCCUGAAAUGUAUCAUGAUCAGGAAGCGUGGGCUCCAGGACCCGUGACUGCCCCGGACACAGAACAACUAAACUCUCAUUUAUGAAACGCAGCAUUUGGGUCAGAACACUAUUCAAUAAUAGUAAUUCUGUUCAACGUACUUUAAUAUCACCUUCGUUACAAACAUUACCACUCAGUUUAUGGUCUGUGUUUUCAAUCCUUAUGUUUUUUUUUUUUUUUGAGACGGAGUUUCACUCUUGUUACCCAGGCUGGAGUGCAAUGGCGCGAUCUCGGCUCACCACAACCUCCGCCUCCUGGGUUCAGGCAAUUCUCCUGCCUCAGCCUCCCGAGUAGCUGGGACUACAGGAGAAUGCCACCAUGCCCAGCUGAUUUUUGUAUUUUUAGUAGAGAUGGGGUUUCACCAUGUUGACCAGGAUGGUCUCUAUCUCUUGACCUCGUGAUCCACCCGCCUUAGCCUCCCAAUGUGCUGGGAUUACAGGUGUGAGCCACCGCGCCCGGCCUCAAUCCUUAUGUUUUUCUAGCAGCUAAAAAAGGUCAAUUCCAGGUAAAUAUCACCCAACUGACUUCAGUCUCUUGUCAAUUUUAUUAUUGCCUUAAUCAUAGCACUAUAUGAAGACAGAACAUAUCCACCCCAAUAAUUCAUAGUCGUAUUCCUGGAUUAUGGAUUCCUGAUAAUUUGUCUGAACCAUGGGCUGCUACGCUGGCUUUACAUUCCGUGAACAUUCUUACUGGCUAACUUGUGGUGCUCGUAGAGCCUUAGGCAUGAUAAUUUUUGCUACGGUCUCCUUGAUCACACUGGUAACUUCUGUUGUAGUGUCUUCAGUAGCACUAUUUCGAACAGCCCAAUAUGUAGAAAAUUGGACACGUAUAGUUGAUCAGACAUGGAUGCUCCAAAAUAAAACUGAAGUGGAAUUACAAACAGAAGAGGCAGUGCUAAGACUACUGUCUUGUGGCUGCAAGAACAAGCACCAAGCCUGCAAGUGCAGCAGCAAUCGCACGGCCAUUUUAACCACAUUCCCAAUGUGGAAUACAAUCAAAGUGAAUGUCCACGGAACCUCAGAAGCUUUUACAUCCAAUGUUACUUUUGAUAUCAGCGAUUUACAAAAAAGUUCUUGACUUGAAUAAACAGACUGGAGACUAUCAAACUUCUUUAAAAGCUUGGACACGCCUUAAACUUAUGAGUAAGGAAAACGAUUCGGGGUGACGCCGGAAUCCUCACUGCUAAUGUAAGACAACGGGUAAAGGACGCCCCCGAGGUGACCCGCCUACUUUGCAGGAUGCCUGGGAGCCACGAUCUGCCUGACCCCAUUAAAAAAAUUAAUUAAUUAAUUAAAAAAAAACAAAAACAAAAACUCUUGGACAGAAUUCCAGCAGGGCUUGGAGAGCCUUAAUCCUUGGACCUAUCUUAAACGUAAUCUCAAUGUCCCUCUUAUCAUCAUAGGAAUAAUGCUAUUAUGUCUCCGUUUUCUGUCUGUAGUCUGUAUGAUGCUGUGGACCAACACCUGGCAAUUGAAAGCUGUCCAGCCGGGAACUGCCUUCAUUUAAUUAAUGUAAAAACUAAAAGGGGGUGUAAGGCCGAUAGCCUUGCUAAGAGCCGAUGAACAACACCCACCCCCUCUAUGCUGAUAACAGUUUAUCAGGCAGAACACAUUACUCAGCAUCUGGCUCCUCCAUGCGGGCUCCCCUCGCCCACUUCUGCAUUCUGCCCCCAGGUCUAUAUUCAGCACUAAACUAUGCACUCUCAGCACCAAGCUAUGUAUUUGAACCUCAGCACUAAAGUACACAUCUGAACCCACGAAAAUUGAAAAAUCCCGCCGAGCCUUACCCAAUGGCAACCCACCCCAUGCAUCCUAGGCCAGCCCCCCUCUAACCCCCAUAAAACCCCCUGCCCUGAGAAGUCAAGCACAACUUAUCUGGCCCCCUUUCCCCAGGACCACAGAACCUCGACCACAGAACCUCACCCGGGAGAUAAAUAAAUUGGCAUCUGAUUGUUCUUAUACUGGCCUCAGUUUCCUCAUUUUAAACUCAGCAAUAACCAUUAGGGGGAGAUGCUGGUGACCCCAAGAAUGUGGGGUGUGACCAACUCAAAAUACCUAAGGAGGCUUUAUGAGUAUUGAGCAAACUGUCCUCAUGAAAGCAGAAUGUCAGCAAAUUGACAAACUGUAUCUGCUGCCAGGAGUGUUGAGGGCAGGUCCAGUGCUCCUGGAGGUCAUCUACCUGAAUAUCUGGAAGCUACUGAACAAGGGAAGCAGUCCCUGUGAUAAAUCAAGUAGCUGACCAACAUCACCCCUCCUCCCUAUUCACUUUGCUUACUAAAUAAGAAAGGCUGUAAGAGCUCAGGGCCUUUGUUUACUAGAAGCAAAGAGCCCCCUGAUCCCUUCUCUCAAACAGAACCUUUUAUCUUUGCCUUCAAUUCUGCAUUCCACCUCCUUCCUACAGCACAAAUGCAGACUUGUUCUGAGCCAGUACUGACUGUUCAUCUGUCCUGUUUUUGCCUUAGUACUUCUUUUUUCUUUGAGACGGUGUCUCACUCUGUCGCCUAGGCUGGAGUGCAGUGGUGUGAUCUCAGCUCACUGCAACCUCUGCCUCCCGGGUUCAAGUGAUUCUCCUGCCUCAGCCUCCCUAGUAACUGGGACUACAGGCAUGCGCCACCGGGCCCAGCUAAUUUUUUGUAUUUUUAGUAGAGACAGGGUUUCACCAUGCUAGCCAGGAUGGCCUCAAUCUCGUGACCUCUUGAUCCACCCACCUCGGCCUCCCAAAGUGCUGGGAUUACAGGCGUGAGCCACCGCGCCCGGCCUUGCCUUAGUAUUUACAGUAUCGGGUUGCAUGUCAUUGUUCAUCUUGGUGGUGAUAUGAAGAUCCCUUGGUUGUCCCAAAGAUGCUGAGGAAGGAAUCCCAGUCGUCUAGGAUCACCUCCCCGCUUGACCUCCGCACUGCAUUUCAAUAGAAGAAAAGAUUGGUCGACUGGCGCCUCCUAAAUCACCUUCCUACAAGAUGGCAGGCUUGGUAUGGGGGAAUCUCUCCGGAAGACACUGUUCUGAAACAAGAUCAAACCCCCACCCUACUCCUCCAUCCAGAGACCAGAACGCUUUCACAUGUAAUCCCUAAAACUGUAAACCCAAGACCCUUUCACCUGUAAUUUCUAAGGCUGGAAACCUAAGAUUCCGUCUCUGGGAAUAUCUAGAGUGUAAGCCUAUAUAAAGGCAGAGCUUCUCUGUGUUAGGGGAGCUGGGCCAUUUAUACAAUACAGAAAGCCUCACUCCCGGGCUGUAAUAAUAAACACCCCUUUCUUGCUGGUUCGGUGUUCAAGAGGUCUGUUUUUUGCGGCCGCUCCUGCUUCAAUGCAACGUGGACUUGGGGCAGUCUGGUCCUUAGGAAUAGUAUGAGUGAGGACAGGACUAUUAUUUUGGUGCCAACAGAAGCAGCACAUUAUUUCUGUCUUCCCAAUUCUUAAGCGUUUGCCAGUUCAUCAGUCCUAUACCUUGUCACUUGUGCUGUUAAAUCCAGCCCUGAACUAAUAACUCUGGACUCCACAUCUCACCACCUAUUUUUCUCCCUGCUCUGUCUGCAGUGGUCUUCAAUACUGGCUCAUAUAUUUUGAAUUAUGAAGUGUCUACCCAUUUUUUUUUUUUUAAUGGAGUCUCGCUCUGCAACCCAGGCUGGAGUACAGUGGCAUGAUCUUGGCUCACUGCAACCUCUGCUUCCAGACUUGAAGCAAUUCUUCUGCCUCAGCCUCCUAUCUGGGACUGCAGGUGCCCACCACCACAUGCCCGGCUAAAUUUUUUGUAUUUUUAGUAGAAAAGAGGUUUCACCAUGUUGACCAGGUUGGUCUCGAACUCCUAACCCUGUGAUCUGCCCACCUCGGCCUCACAAAUUCUGGGAUUACAGGCGUGAGCCAGCACACCCAGCCAUAUCUACCCAUUCUUAACAGUCCCUAAUUGAAGAGGGAAAUUAAAUAAUAAAUAACAACAGUUGUUAUUAUUUAAUUUUUGCAUAAUAAAGUUUACUGUGUUGUGUUCAGUAUAAAACCUAACCCCCAGCUCUGCCUGAAAUUAACUAACUCCCUGUAAAACUCACCUUAUCUAUUCUCCCCACUUACUCAGCAAAGUUCCAAGACACCUCAAGACUCCUGUUUUACUUGCAGACCAGUUAAAAGGCCACAGGGUAAGAUAACACCCAACGAAUAUGCAACGUGUUUCUAAAAAUGCUAUUUUCAAAUGUAACGUACAUCACAAGACAUGUCACAAAUUAAUAACUGUUCUUCGUUCUGGCUUCUGUAACCCUGUUAGCUGCUACGUCAUCCUGGAUGUAUAAAGUCAAGCCCUGUCUUUGCUAGGCACUCAGCCUUGGGAUGCUGAUCUGCUAAGCCGGUGGCCACCUUAAUAAAAUCCUCCUUGUUUCACCCA
Non-coding RNA from Callithrix jacchus (white-tufted-ear marmoset), 15882 nucleotides. NCBI's taxonomy places the organism in Eukaryota, Metazoa, Chordata, Mammalia, Primates, Cebidae. The record is from RefSeq and is a predicted model, not a curated record.